This 518-nucleotide ribosomal RNA is filed under the name Pucciniastrum guttatum. RNAcentral describes it as "eukaryotic LSU rRNA". It matches the Rfam family "Eukaryotic large subunit ribosomal RNA", at positions 86 to 605 of the family's 3401-position model. Lineage: Eukaryota; Fungi; Basidiomycota; Pucciniomycetes; Pucciniales; Pucciniastraceae. The record is from RNAcentral.
ACGGCGAGUGAAGAGGGAAAAGCCCAAAUUUGUAAUCUGGCUCUUUUAUAAGGGUCCGAGUUGUAAUUUUGAGAACUGUUUUCUGUGCUGGACCAUGUACAAGUCUGUUGAAAAACAGCAUCAUUGAGGGUGAUAAUCCCGUACGUGAUAUGGACUACCAGGGCAAUAUGAUACAGUCUCUAAGAGUCGAGUUGUUUGGGAAUGCAGCUCAAAGUGGGUGGUAAAUUCCAUCUAAGGCUAAAUAUAGGUGAGAGACCGAUAGCAAACAAGUACCGUGAGGGAAAGAUGAAAAGAACUUUGGAAAGAGAGUUAACAGUACGUGAAAUUGUUAAAAGGGAAACAUUUGAAGUUAGACUUGUUAUUGUUGGUUCAGCUUCUUUAUUGAGGUGUAUUCUGAUGAUUAACAGACCAGCAUCAAUUUUUGGGUGUUGGAUAAGGGUUUUGGGAAUGUGGCAGCUUUGGUUGUGUUAUAGACCAUUACUUUGAUACAAUGCUUAGGAUUGAGGAACGCAGUAAGC